RNAcentral lists this ribosomal RNA (486 nucleotides) under uncultured bacterium. RNAcentral describes it as "partial 16S ribosomal RNA". It matches the Rfam family "Bacterial small subunit ribosomal RNA", at positions 30 to 507 of the family's 1533-position model. The record is from RNAcentral.
AUUGAACGCUGGCGGCAUGCCUUACACAUGCAAGUCGAACGGCAGCACGGGUGCUUGCACCUGGUGGCGAGUGGCGAACGGGUGAGUAAUACAUCGGAACAUGUCCUGUAGUGGGGGAUAGCCCGGCGAAAGCCGGAUUAAUACCGCAUACGAUCUACGGAUGAAAGCGGGGGACCUUCGGGCCUCGCGCUAUAGGGUUGGCCGAUGGCUGAUUAGCUAGUUGGUGGGGUAAAGGCCUACCAAGGCGACGAUCAGUAGCUGGUCUGAGAGGACAACCAGCCACACUGGGACUGAGACACGGCCCAGACUCCUACGGGAGGCAGCAGUGGGGAAUUUUGGACAAUGGGCGAAAGCCUGAUCCAGCAAUGCCGCGUGUGUGAAGAAGGCCUUCGGGUUGUAAAGCACUUUUGUCCGGAAAGAAAUCCUUGGCCCUAAUACGGUCGGGGGAUGACGGUACCGGAAGAAUAAGCACCGGCUAACUACGUG